AGGACGAACGCUUGCGACGUGCCUAAGAAAUGCAAGUCGAGCGAGGUAGCAAUACCUAGCGGCGAACGGUCGCGUAACACGUAAGCAACCUGCCUCAAAGACCGGGACAACGUUUCGAAAGGGGCGCUAAUACCGGAUGUGCCCAUAGGGAGUCAUCUCCUUGUGAGUAAAUCGAGCAAUCGGCUUUGAGAGGGGCUUGCGGCCUAUCAGCUAGAUGGUGGGGUAACGGCCUACCAUGGCUUCGACGGGUAGCUGGU
Molecule: ribosomal RNA, 257 nt
Filed under: uncultured bacterium
Lineage: Bacteria
Description: partial small subunit ribosomal RNA
Rfam family: Bacterial small subunit ribosomal RNA
Source: RNAcentral